AGGAGACUAGUUAUGGAAGGUAGGGGUCAAUAAUAGCAGGAGGUAUUGGGUAGGAGACUAGUUAUGGAAGGUAGGGGUCAAUAAUAGAGCAAUCCAUCGAUAGGAGACUAGUUAUGGAAGGUAGGGGUCAAUAAUAGCAGGAGGUAUUGGGUAGGAGACUAGUUAUGGAAGGUAGGGGUCAAUAAUAGCAGGAGGUAUUGGGUAGGUGACUAGUUAUGGAAGGUAGGGGUCAAUAAUAGCAGGAGGUAUUGGGUAGGUGACUAGUUAUGGAAGGUAGGGGUCAAUAAUAGCAGGAGGUAUUGGGUAGGUGACUAGUUAUGGAAGGUAGGGGUCAAUAAUAGCAGGAGGUAUUGGGUAGGUGACUAGUUAUGGAAGGUAGGGGUCAAUAAUAGAUCAAUCCAUCGAUAGGAGACUAGUUAUGGAAGGUAGGGGUCAAUAAUAGCAGGAGGUAUUGGGUAGGUGACUAGUUAUGGAAGGUAGGGGUCAAUAAUAGCAGGAGGUAUUGGGUAGGUGACUAGUUAUGGAAGGUAGGGGUCAAUAAUAGCAGGAGGUAUUGGGUAGGUGACUAGUUAUGGAAGGUAGGGGUCAAUAAUAGCAGGAGGUAUUGGGUAGGUGACUAGUUAUGGAAGGUAGGGGUCAAUAAUAGCAGGAGGUAUUGGGUAGGUGACUAGUUAUGGAAGGUAGGGGUCAAUAAUAGCAGGAGGUAUUGGGUAGGUGACUAGUUAUGGAAGGUAGGGGUCAAUAAUAGAUCAAUCCAUCGAUAGGAGACUAGUUAUGGAAGGUAGGGGUCAAUAAUAGCAGGAGGUAUUGGGUAGGAGACUAGUUAUGGAAGGUAGGGGUCAAUAAUAGAUCAAUCCAUCGAUAGGAGACUAGUUAUGGAAGGUAGGGGUCAAUAAUAGCAGGAGGUAUUGGGUAGGAGACUAGUUAUGGAAGGUAGGGGUCAAUAAUAGCAGGAGGUAUUGGGUAGGUGACUAGUUAUGGAAGGUAGGGGUCAAUAAUAGAUCAAUCCAUCGAUAGGAGACUAGUUAUGGAAGGUAGGGGUCAAUAAUAGCAGGAGGUAUUGGGUAGGAGACUAGUUAUGGAAGGUAGGGGUCAAUAAUAGCAGGAGGUAUUGGGUAGGUGACUAGUUAUGGAAGGUAGGGGUCAAUAAUAGAUCAAUCAAUCGAUAGGAGACUAGUUAUGGAAGGUAGGGGUCAAUAAUAGCAGGAGGUAUUGGGUAGGAGACUAGUUAUGGAAGGUAGGGGUCAACAAUAGCAGGAGGUAUUGGGUAGGUGACUAGUUAUGGAAGGUAGGGGUCAAUAAUAGAUCAAUCCAUCGAUAGGAGACUAGUUAUGGAAGGUAGGGGUCAAUAAUAGCAGGAGGUAUUGGGUAGGAGACUAGUUAUGGAAGGUAGGGGUCAAUAAUAGAGCAAUCCAUCGAUAGGAGACUAGUUAUGGAAGGUAGGGGUCAAUAAUAGCAGGAGGUAUUGGGUAGGAGACUAGUUAUGGAAGGUAGGGGUCAAUAAUAGCAGGAGGUAUUGGGUAGGAGACUAGUUAUGGAAGGUAGGGGUCAAUAAUAGAUCAAUCCAUCGAUAGGAGACUAGUUAUGGAAGGUAGGGGUCAAUAAUAGCAGGAGGUAUUGGGUAGGUGACUAGUUAUGGAAGGUAGGGGUCAAUAAUAGAGCAAUCCAUCGAUAGGAGACUAGUUAUGGAAGGUAGGGGUCAAUAAUAGCAGGAGGUAUUGGGUAGGAGACUAGUUAUGGAAGGUAGGGGUCAAUAAUAGAGCAAUCCAUCGAUAGGAGACUAGUUAUGGAAGGUAGGGGUCAAUAAUAGCAGGAGGUAUUGGGUAGGAGACUAGUUAUGGAAGGUAGGGGUCAAUAAUAGAUCAAUCCAUCGAUAGGAGACUAGUUAUGGAAGGUAGGGGUCAAUAAUAGCAGGAGGUAUUGGGUAGGUGACUAGUUAUGGAAGGUAGGGGUCAAUAAUAGCAGGAGGUAUUGGGUAGGAGACUAGUUAUGGAAGGUAGGGGUCAAUAAUAGAUCAAUCCAUCGAUAGGAGACUAGUUAUGGAAGGUAGGGGUCAAUAAUAGCAGGAGGUAUUGGGUAGGAGACUAGUUAUGGAAGGUAGGGGUCAAUAAUAGCAGGAGGUAUUGGGUAGGUGACUAGUUAUGGAAGGUAGGGGUCAAUAAUAGCAGGAGGUAUUGGGUAGGUGACUAGUUAUGGAAGGUAGGGGUCAAUAAUAGAUCAAUCCAUCGAUAGGAGACUAGUUAUGGAAGGUAGGGGUCAAUAAUAGCAGGAGGUAUUGGGUAGGUGACUAGUUAUGGAAGGUAGGGGUCAAUAAUAGAUCAAUCCAUCGAUAGGAGACUAGUUAUGGAAGGUAGGGGUCAAUAAUAGCAGGAGGUAUUGGGUAGGUGACUAGUUAUGGAAGGUAGGGGUCAAUAAUAGCAGGAGGUAUUGGGUAGGUGACUAGUUAUGGAAGGUAGGGGUCAAUAAUAGCAGGAGGUAUUGGGUAGGUGACUAGUUAUGGAAGGUAGGGGUCAAUAAUAGCAGGAGGUAUUGGGUAGGUGACUAGUUAUGGAAGGUAGGGGUCAAUAAUAGCAGGAGGUAUUGGGUAGGUGACUAGUUAUGGAAGGUAGGGGUCAAUAAUAGCAGGAGGUAUUGGGUAGGAGACUAGUUAUGGAAGGUAGGGGUCAAUAAUAGCAGGAGGUAUUGGGUAGGAGACUAGUUAUGGAAGGUAGGGGUCAAUAACAGCAGGAGGUAUUGGGUAGGUGACUAGUUAUGGAAGGUAGGGGUCAACAACAGCAGGAGGUAUUGGGUAGGUGACUAGUUACGGGAGGUAGGGGUCAACAACAGCAGGAGGUAUUGGGUAGGUGACUAGUUACGGGAGGUAGGGGUCAACAACAGCAGGAGGUAUUGGGUAGGUUGAUGAGG
This is a long non-coding RNA of Oncorhynchus keta (chum salmon), 2904 nucleotides long. RefSeq lists it as uncharacterized. NCBI's taxonomy places the organism in Eukaryota, Metazoa, Chordata, Actinopteri, Salmoniformes, Salmonidae. The transcript has 14 exons. The record is from RefSeq and is a predicted model, not a curated record.